Non-coding RNA from Heligmosomoides polygyrus, 48 nucleotides. The record is from Rfam. NCBI's taxonomy places the organism in Eukaryota, Metazoa, Nematoda, Chromadorea, Rhabditida, Heligmosomidae.
GAAAAGAAACUAACAAGGAUUCCCUUAGUAACGGCGAGUGAAUGGGGA